UUCGUUUGGUUAUAAAAAUUAUAAAAAUGUAACGUAAUAAUAGGAAGUAUUUGUUGGGAGGAAUAUCGAAUCAGUUUAUAAAUUCCAGCGUCUGUUUGAUUAUACCCGCCUGUAUUGCAAGAUAAAAAUAUGAAGUAUGACGUAACGUAAUAACACGAAACACCUGUUAGGAAGAAUAUCAAAUUAGCUCAUAAAUUCCUGCGUCUGUUUGAUUAUAUCGGCCUGUAUUGUAAGAUAAAAAUAUGAUGUAUGACGUAACGUAAUAACACGAAACACCUGUCAGGAAGAAUAUCAAAUUAGUUCAUAAAUUUUUGCGUUCGUUUGAUUACAAGAUAAAAAUAUG
This 343-nucleotide unclassified non-coding RNA is filed under the name Bombus terrestris (buff-tailed bumblebee). RNAcentral describes it as "misc RNA ENSBTSG00005032955.1". Lineage: Eukaryota; Metazoa; Arthropoda; Insecta; Hymenoptera; Apidae. The record is from RNAcentral.